GAGUUUGAUCAUGGCUCAGAACGAACGUUGGCGGCGUGGAUGAGGCAUGCAAGUCGCGCGUGAAAGUUCCUUCGGGAGCGAGUAAAGCGGCGGACGGGUGAGCAAUACGUACUCUAGCUGCCCUCGAGACGGGGAUAACCACGGGAAACCGUGGCUAAUACCCGAUGUUUCGUUGUCACUGCAUGGUGGUAACGGCAAACGGUGGGGACCCUUCGGGGCCUGCUGCUCGAGGAUGCGAUUACAGCCUAUCAGCUAGUUGGUGGGGUAAUGGCCUACCAAGGCGACGACGGGUAGCCGGCCUGAGAGGGUGGUCGGCCACGCUGGGACUGAGACACUGCCCAGACUCCUACGGGAGGCUGCAGUUGAGAAUCUUCCGCAAUGGGCGAAAGCCUGACGGAGCGACGCCGCGUGAAGGAUGAAGGCCCUCGGGUUGUAAACUACUGUCACGGGUUAUGAAUGUACAUAUGUUAACAGCGUGUGUAUUGACGUAAGCCCGAAAGGAAGCACCGGCUAACUCUGUG
RNAcentral lists this ribosomal RNA (521 nucleotides) under uncultured bacterium. Its description in RNAcentral is "bacterial SSU rRNA". It matches the Rfam family "Bacterial small subunit ribosomal RNA", at positions 9 to 507 of the family's 1533-position model. The record is from RNAcentral.